GCCAUAGCUUAGUGGAAGAGCACAUGAUUUGCAUGUAAAAGGCCCCAGGUUCAAUUACUGGUUUCUCCA
This is a non-coding RNA of Podarcis lilfordi (Lilford's wall lizard), 69 nucleotides long. The record is from the annotation of a GenBank genome assembly. Lineage: Eukaryota; Metazoa; Chordata; Lepidosauria; Squamata; Lacertidae.